RNAcentral lists this ribosomal RNA (493 nucleotides) under uncultured bacterium. RNAcentral describes it as "bacterial SSU rRNA". It matches the Rfam family "Bacterial small subunit ribosomal RNA", at positions 28 to 507 of the family's 1533-position model. The record is from RNAcentral.
GAUGAACGCUAGCUACAGGCUUAACACAUGCAAGUCGAGGGGAAACGAUAUUGGAAGCUUGCUUCCGAUAGGCGUCGACCGGCGCACGGGUGAGUAACGCGUAUCCAACCUGCCCAUCACUUGGGAAUAACCUUGCGAAAGUAAGACUAAUGCCCAAUGACAUUUAUAGAAGGCAUCUGAAAUGAAUUAAAGAUUUAUCGGUGAUGGAUGGGGAUGCGUCUGAUUAGCUUGUUGGCGGGGUAACGGCCCACCAAGGCGACGAUCAGUAGGGGUUCUGAGAGGAAGGUCCCCCCACAUUGGAACUGAGACACGGUCCAAACUCCUACGGGAGGCAGCAGUGAGGAAUAUUGGUCAAUGGGCGAGAGCCUGAACCAGCCAAGUAGCGUGCAGGAAGACGGCCCUAUGGGUUGUAAACUGCUUUUAUAGGGGAAUAAAGUGAGCCACGUGUGGUUUUUUGCAUGUACCCUAUGAAUAAGGACCGGCUAAUUCCGUG